GGCGGCGGGGGCAGGACACGACACGGCAGGACGCGGUGUUCUCCCGCGGUGCCGGAGGCCGCCUCCGAGCCCAGGCUGUAGGACAGGGAGGUUGAUGAGCCUACAAAUGCUAGCCAGACACCCCUGUGGAAGCAAACCAAAGGAAACUCUCAGGAACCCGGGAUGCUUACUGGAAUAAAACACAGAAAUGUGUGCUGCUGCAGCAAAGAGGGCAACAUCUUGUCGUGGACAGAUCAAUAGCAACCAGCAGACAGAUCUACAGUUCCCGCAGACUGCGAACCUCUCAGCUUUUCGUCCUACACAGUCUGAAAAUGAACACAUGCCAUUUGUUUCUAUUUUUAGCACCUGCAUUCUCGAUCCAGUAUAAGGAGAGGCCCGACAAAGGAAUUGUCUCAAUGUCACCUGGCACGAUCACUUAAAAAUGGUUUUCAUUGCAAAGGGAGGGGUAAGUAUGUCCGUGUGAUCCAUGAAAGCACAGGUUUUUCACUUCCACUUUACAGCACUCAUUUUCACCACAAUUCAACAGCUGGUGUGCACAGCCCUAAACACAGCCGGUUUGGGAAGCAGCAUCAGUACCCACUGCACAUCCCCAGCUCCCCACACUCUGUGGGUUAAAUAUUGGAUGCCAGUAGGAAACCUGCUGCAAGUCUCUUGGAGCUGCUCUAAAACCUUUGCUCAACGUCCCCAUUCACAGUGCAUUAGUAGAGACGUUGCAUAUUUCAUCCCUCUUCAAAUAUUUAUAUAUGUACUUCACGUUUGAGUAAAGCUGUCCUUUUCAUCAGAGCAGGAAGAUUACAGCAAAGGGAGGAAUUAUCCUAAACUGGCAAACAUCAUUGUCUAUUAAGUAACACAAGGGUUUGAAAGCAGAAUUGAGUGUCUGGCAGCCAGGAGCUUGGCUCCACUGCACAGGAGAUUUCAUAAUGACAUGUUUUGAGAUCAACUGUAAAAAAAAAUAAAAACAAAAAGCCAAAAAUCUAAA
Molecule: long non-coding RNA, 979 nt
Organism: Vidua macroura (Pin-tailed whydah)
Lineage: Eukaryota; Metazoa; Chordata; Aves; Passeriformes; Viduidae
Exons: 2
Source: RefSeq, a predicted model, not a curated record